This 3026-nucleotide unclassified non-coding RNA is filed under the name Hevea brasiliensis (rubber tree). Lineage: Eukaryota; Viridiplantae; Streptophyta; Magnoliopsida; Malpighiales; Euphorbiaceae. The record is from RNAcentral.
GAAGAAUGGAAGUGGCAGCCAAAGAAGCAUUUACCUUCCAAUCUUAGUUGUAUCUUCUGUCUUUCUAUUUGGAUAUUUUCUGUUUAAUGAACAUGUGAAUUUCAUCUCACUUCCAUUUCCAAGACUUAAAGAGCCUUUACGAGAACCAGUUUCCAACUCCAGCAAUCCAUUAGUUCAAGAAAAUGCCAAGAUUGUGGAUAAUGAAGAACCCCAAAUGGAGGGUAGUACUGCAGAUCUUGAAAAAUCGGCCAAGGUGAUUCAAGAACAGGAAAGUAUGGAACUGCUAAAUCUUGAAGAAGCAGAUGAAGAUGUUGUGGUUCCACCAGAAGAUUGUAAUAUCUUCAUAGGAGAGUGGGUUCUUGAUAACUUGACUCAUCCUCUAUACAAAGAAGAUGAAUGUGAGUUUCUUUCAGAGGAAGUGACUUGCCUCAGAAAUGGAAGGAUGGAUUCUCUGUACCAGAACUGGAGAUGGCAACCUAGAUAUUGUCAUUUGCCGAAGUAAGUAUAUAAUAUAGCCUUGAAAGUGAUAUCAGUAGUACCGAAUUAGAACUCAUUUAGAGUAUACAGUUAACUUUUAAUAUUCUAAUGUAUUAAUUAUAUUUAGUAUAUGGUUUUAUAUUAACUAUUCUAAGGUUCAAAGCAAAGUAUUUGCUGAAUAAGCUUCAAGGAAAGAGGCUAAUGUUUGUUGGAGAUUCACUGCAACAUCAACAAUGGCAGUCUUUGAUCUGUCUGGUUCAGUCUGCCAUUCCUCCACACAAGAAGAGCUUAAUGAGCUAUUCAAUUUCUCUCACUGUCUUCAAAAUGGAGGUCAAUCUUUCAUAAUUUCUUACUUUUAAUUCAGGUCUUGAUAUGCACACAUGGAUUCAAGUUAAUCCUUUAUUACACGGUUUGUGAAAAUUAAAUUGCAUAUAUUAUUCAUUACAGUCAAUAUUAAUUUAAAUAUUGGAAUAUUUUUUAACUUUUUUCCAGGAAUAUAAUGCCACCAUAGAGUUUUAUUGGGCACCAUUCUUGGUGGAGUCCAAUUCAGACGAUUUAUCAAAUAGAAAUGGCCAAUCAGAUCGUAUAAUUUUUCCAGAAUCAAUCUCUAAACAUGGUGAUAACUGGAAGAAUGUUGAUUACCUUAUAUUUGACAACUAUAUUUGGUGGAUGAACUCUCCUUACACCAAAGUAUCGUAAGUAUAUAUUCACCACUUUGCUUUUAUAUAUAUUCUAAUUUUCUAUUUUCAAUUUCAAUUUAAUAUAUAUAUAUAUAUGAGUAUGUGCACACACGAUCACAUCAAUUAUUGAAUAUAAAAUUUCAUUUUAUGCAUAUGAGCCUUCUAAAUUAUUGUAUUUUUUUUAUAAGUAUUAGGCUAUUAGCGUGCGUCUGUUGUAAGUGAUGUAAUUGAGAAGAGAAUUUUCAUUUUUAUAAAUAUGAUUGAUAGUUUUAAUAAGAAUGAUCAAGAGGUUGAUUAUUUUUUCUAAUGGAGUUGAAGGAAAAAACGAGGACCGUUGGAUGAAGGGGCAAUAGCAGAGUAUGAUGAAAUUGAAUUGCCAAUAGCAUAUGAGAGAGCUUUGAGGACUUGGGCUAAAUGGGUGGAAAAAAAUGUUAAUCCAAACAAAACUUCUGUUUUCUUCAACAGCAUGUCUCCUACUCAUAUCAAGUAAGAAAAUCUACUUCUAAGCUUCAUGGUGUCUCACAAUGGUUUAGGGUAUGGCAUUUGAACUAAAUAUAAAAUUUAGGCAAAUUUCCUCUCUUUAAACUAGUUUUGGAGUAGACACGGUCUUUUCUUUUUUUUGCAUGUUAUUAAAAUUUAUCCCAUAAAUUUUAUACUCCAAAUGUUCACGUCUUGACGUGAGAGGUUGAAUUGCUUGAGCUUACUUUUGAAGCGGAGUUGUUAAUCCAUGUUUUGAUUUUAUUUGAUUGCAAAGUUGAAAUUUACCAUGUAAAUGAAAUGGCAAAUAGGAGCUUGGAUUGGAACGAUCCUGAUGGGAUCAAAUGUGCCAAUGAGACUACCCCAACUCUUAACAUGACCAAGCCAUUGGAAGUGGGCACAAACCACCAGCUUUUUGAGAUUGUAGUGAAUGUGACUCAAUCCAUGAAACUACCUGUCUACUUCCUCAAUGUAACUACACUAUCUGAAUACCGGAAAGAUGCGCAUACCUCUAUUUAUACAGCGGUUGAUGGCAAGGUACUCUCGCCGCAGCAGAAGUCCGAUCCAGCCAAAUAUGCUGAUUGUCUUCAUUGGUGUCUUCCAGGAUUGCCUGAUACAUGGAAUGAAUUGCUCUAUACUCGUAUCAUCUCUAAUUCUUGAUUAAUAGAACUUUUGUGUCUUUUUUCAAGAUUUACACAGGAAAAGAGUUUAAUUAAUGAUAUGGAAUUUUUGUGUACCUCCAAUGUGGAUGGAAUAUAUCUAUAUUUUGAAGUGAAAACUUGUGAUCGAUGACUAUAAGUUAAAUAUUGUUUUAUUCUUUUAAAAUUAUAUCAUCAGUUUUACUCUUAUCCUCUUAAUCUUCACUUGCCUAAUAGCAAUUGCCAUUCCAAAUAUAUGGUGUUUCUUUCAGUCUGUGGGAUCAACCUCUGCAGUCUCUUGCCUAUCUUUCCAGGAGCUAUUCUGCUAAGGUGCUAAUCUCCAUCAGCAAUGCAUCUGUUUUGCAUAAUCUGAUUCAUUUUUUCCCCUCUCAUGAAUGCCAGGGAUGCUCACAGGAUAUCUACAGCAAAGGAUAGUAUCAUAGCUCCAAUAAUGAUCAAUCUUGCUAUAUACUGCACCAAGUUUUGGAUAUAAUUUUGCAGGAUAUCCUGCAAUGAGGCUACAAGGAGGAUCCCUCUUACGAUAUGGGGUAAGAAUCUUGGGGUCAGCAAUCGUCUGAAUAGCCCCCAUCUGUAUUUUUAAUCAAGAUAUGAUAAUUAAGCUACCAAUUCCAUCUGUUCAUCACAGCAACAGGAAAAGCUGAAUCUGCUGCAUUUCACAUGCUAAUUUUUGCUGAUGAUGAAGUUUCAAAUGUAUGCAUACAGAUUAUGAUUUCAUAAUCAAGAUUAUCCUGAA